Molecule: ribosomal RNA, 544 nt
Filed under: uncultured Glomeromycotina
Lineage: Eukaryota; Fungi; Glomeromycota
Description: SSU rRNA
Rfam family: Eukaryotic small subunit ribosomal RNA
Source: RNAcentral
UUGGAGGGCAAGUCUGGUGCCAGCAGCCGCGGUAAUUCCAGCUCCAAUAGCGUAUAUUAAAGUUGUUGCAGUUAAAAAGCUCGUAGUUGAAUUUCGGGGUUCUACCGUUGGUCGGGCUUUGUCUGUACUGGUGUGUAGAAUUUCUACCUUCUGGGGAACCAUCAUGCUAUUAAUUUAGCGUGGUGGGAAACCAGGACCUUUACCUUGAAAAAAUUAGUGUGUUCAAAGCAGGCUUAUGUCUGAAUACAUUAGCGUGGAAUAAUAGAAUAGGACGGUGGUCCUGUUUUGUUGGUUUCUGAAUCACCGUAAUGAUUAAUAGGGAUAGUUGGGGGCAUUAGUAUUCAAUUGUCAGAGGUGAAAUUCUUGGAUUUAUUGAAGACUAACUUCUGCGAAAGCAUUUGCCAAGGAUGUUUUCAUUAAUCAAGAACGAAAGUUAGGGGAUCGAAGACGAUCAGAUACCGUCGUAGUCUUAACCAUAAACUAUGCCGACUAGGGAUCGGACGAUGUUGAUUUUUCUUGACUCGUUCGGCGCCUUACGGGAAAC